This 24-nucleotide non-coding RNA is filed under the name Arabidopsis thaliana (thale cress). The record is from RNAcentral. Lineage: Eukaryota; Viridiplantae; Streptophyta; Magnoliopsida; Brassicales; Brassicaceae.
UACGCUCUGGAUACAUUAGCAUGG